CCUACGGGAGGCAGCAGUGGGGAAUAUUGCACAAUGGGGGAAACCCUGAUGCAGCGACGCCGCGUGAGCGAUGAAGUAUUUCGGUAUGUAAAGCUCUAUCAGCAGGGAAGAAGAUGACGGUACCUGACUAAGACGCCCCGGCUAACUACGUGCCAGAAGCCGCGGUAAUACGUAGGGGGCAAGCGUUAUCCGGAUUUACUGGGUGUAAAGGGAGCGUAGACGGCGAUGCAAGUCAGAUGUGAAAGCCCGGGGCUCAACCCCGGGACUGCAUUUGAAACUGUGUGGCUGGAGUGUCGGAGAGGCAGGCGGAAUUCCUAGUGUAGCGGUGAAAUGCGUAGAGAUCACGCAGAACCCCGAUUGCGAAGGCAGCAUGCCGGCUUCCGACUGACGCUGAAGCACGAAAGCGUGGGGAUCGAACAGGAUUAGAUACCCCAGUAGUC
RNAcentral lists this ribosomal RNA (440 nucleotides) under uncultured bacterium. Its description in RNAcentral is "partial 16S ribosomal RNA". It matches the Rfam family "Bacterial small subunit ribosomal RNA", at positions 338 to 795 of the family's 1533-position model. The record is from RNAcentral.